This 459-nucleotide ribosomal RNA is filed under the name Streptococcus constellatus. RNAcentral describes it as "bacterial SSU rRNA". It matches the Rfam family "Bacterial small subunit ribosomal RNA", at positions 30 to 465 of the family's 1533-position model. Lineage: Bacteria; Bacillati; Bacillota; Bacilli; Lactobacillales; Streptococcaceae. The record is from RNAcentral.
CGAACGCUGGCGGCGUGCCUAAUACAUGCAAGUAGAACGCACAGGAUGCACCGUAGUUUACUACACCGUAUUCUGUGAGUUGCGAACGGGUGAGUAACGCGUAGGUAACCUGCCUGGUAGCGGGGGAUAACUAUUGGAAACGAUAGCUAAUACCGCAUAAGAACAUUUACUGCAUGGUAGAUGUUUAAAAGGUGCAAGAGCAUCACUACCAGAUGGACCUGCGUUGUAUUAGCUAGUUGGUGAGGUAACGGCUCACCAAGGCAACGAUACAUAGCCGACCUGAGAGGGUGAUCGGCCACACUGGGACUGAGACACGGCCCAGACUCCUACGGGAGGCAGCAGUAGGGAAUCUUCGGCAAUGGGGGGAACCCUGACCGAGCAACGCCGCGUGAGUGAAGAAGGUUUUCGGAUCGUAAAGCUCUGUUGUUAAGGAAGAACGUGUGUGAGAGUGGAAAGUUC